GACGAACGCUGGCGGCGUGCUUAACACAUGCAAGUCGAGCGGUAAGGCCCUUUCGGGGGUACACGAGCGGCGAACGGGUGAGUAACACGUGGGUGACCUGCCCUCAGCUCUGGGAUAAGCCUGGGAAACCGGGUCUAAUACCGGAUAUGACUCCAUGACGCAUGUUGUGGGGUGGAAAGCCUUGUGCGGCUGAGGAUGGGCCCGCGGCCUAUCAGCUUGUUGGUGGGGUGAUGGCCUACCAAGGCGACGACGGGUAGCCGGCCUGAGAGGGCGACCGGCCACACUGGGACUGAGACACGGCCCAGACUCCUACGGGAGGCAGCAGUGGGAAUCUGCGCAAUGGGCGAAAGCCUGACGCAGCGACGCCGCGUGA
RNAcentral lists this ribosomal RNA (373 nucleotides) under uncultured bacterium. RNAcentral's name for it is "bacterial SSU rRNA". It matches the Rfam family "Bacterial small subunit ribosomal RNA", at positions 28 to 404 of the family's 1533-position model. The record is from RNAcentral.